AUCCUUAGGUGUUGUGGUAAAACCAUUGAUGCAUCGCCCUAUAGCUAUAGGGUAAUAAGGUGGUUAAGUAACUUCAUUGCGAGAUACUACUUCUGCAACUGUUAUAACUUAUGCACUAGAAAACUAUGAUACUGCUCAGGAGACGACACCAUGGCCAAUGCUUUGAAUUGAUCAUCAACAUGAUCAUAUAUAUCCAAGGAUGUGCGUGCUCCAGAUAGUGACUUUCCCCGUGCUAAGGUUUUAUAUAGUGAACUGAACACCACGACAACAAUGGACAAAGCAAGAAUCAAUGUAAUUUAAGUCUUAAGCAUCAUAUAUAAACACAUAAUCUCCUCUAAUUCACCUAAACCCAAAUGUUAAAAAGAAAAUACACACUAAUUUCCAUGAAAACACAAAUGCACGUAUAGGAAUCAUAACAAUGCCUGAAUGCAAGUUUUAAAACUAAAAUAAGCUAAAAAUAUGUAGGUAAAACCAUAAAAUACUACAAGACAUCAAGUAUGCACAACUAAAAUCAACAGCCUUGUAAAUUUGUAAUUUUAAUCUUUAAAGCUCUUUACUAAAUCAAACUAACAAUAUAAGUGUUUAUUGAGAAUAUGCUAUUAACUUAGUUGUCUGUAAGUGUCAGUCAUCGGAUCAAGUCGGCUAAAUAGGCAAAUGAAUUGUCCCAGCUUUAAAUAUAUCUUUCAAUUAAUCACCAAUGGGUUUCCAGAAAAAGAAACUGAUGGGCACAAUCUACCAUUAAUAACUUUCUAAAUUUGGAAAUCAUAAUUGUGUUUCUCCACCUCCUCUUGUUCCUUUCUUCAUUCCAUGUGUUUCUCUAUCUUUUCUCUUUUGUUCUGUCCCACUAAACUUAUCUUCAAACAAGAGGCUGUGUGAUUGUGUUAUUUACAAAUAUUUAAAAAGUUUUGUAAACCAAUUAUGCAGAAUUUGAGAAGGAAUAGUCCCCAAAGAGACACGUAUCUUUUUGAGUAUCUUCAUACGACUUGCUGACUACGUAGAUUCCUCUGGUACCAUACUGCCAUGAUUGAUUGAUUUUACAUACGUCAAAAUUACAUGCGUGAACCUUUAUACAAUUUGUAAAUCAUGUCCCUUAUUACUUACAUAAUUACUGAAGUUUAGAUAAUUAUUUUUGUUCAUCUGACCAUUAAGUUCCGAGUUUUUGUUGUAUAGUCUCUCUAGACUUGAACUAACCCGGGCCAGUUUUUGAUAAUAUUUGUGGCUAGUUGAUGUCCUUUUCUUCUAAACUCUAAUAUCCAUUUGUAGAUCUAGUUUUGGAUAUAGCUUUACUGUUUCAAUCAAAAAGUCAUCGACUAUUAUAAUGAAUGAGACUACAACAAAACUAUAUUUUUUAUUAAUUAAUUGAGUAAUUUAUUUAUCGAUAUAUUAAUUGAACCAAAAACUAAAUUUGGGAUUAUAAAAUUAUAUUAUUUUAUAGAGACUUUUAGUGUAUAUUAAUUUAUAGAGUAUUAAUUUAAAGAGGUUACUAGAUCUCGAUCCGUGCAACCGCGCGGGUUUUUGUUUUCAUUUAUUUUUAUAUAAAUAUUUUGUUUUCAAUUCUAAAUUGGUAUAUAUUAUAAUAUGUGUCUAUCAAUUUUUAAAACAUAAUAAGUUUACGGUAUAUUUUUUCAUUGAAUAGAUUGUUUUAAACUUUCACAUGUAUUUGUAUCUUCUUCUAUAUAUAUUUUUUCGGAUUAUUAUUUUACUAUUAAAAUUGUAACUAUAUAUAUAAAGAUUAGUAAAUAUUGUUUUAUUGUCAUAUUCAAAUAUAUUGUAACAUUUCACAAAUUUAGAAAUUUUUUUUUUUUAAAUAAACUUUUCGCUUCAUAGGUUUAUAUUAUCGAGUAAAUAAUUAAAUAUUUAGUUUUUGUUUAAUUUUUAAAAUAAGCUAUAUAGUUUAAAAUUUGUUUUCAUUGGUUUACGAUAGUAAAGAUUAAUCAUUGUUAGAUAAUAUGAUUUUUUUUUAUUUUAAAAAAACAUCUUUACCUAUCAAUUUUUAAAACAUAAUAAGUUUACGGUAUAUUUUUUCAUUGAAUAGAUUGUUUUAAACUUUCACAUGUAUUUGUAUCUUCUUCUAUAUAUAUUUUUUCGGAUUAUUAUUUUACUAUUAAAAUUGUAACUAUAUAUAUAAAGAUUAGUAAAUAUUGUUUUAUUGUCAUAUUCAAAUAUAUUGUAACAUUUCACAAAUUUAGAAAUUUUUUUUUUUUAAAUAAACUUUUCGCUUCAUAGGUUUAUAUUAUCGAGUAAAUAAUUAAAUAUUUAGUUUUUGUUUAAUUUUUAAAAUAAGCUAUAUAGUUUAAAAUUUGUUUUCAUUGGUUUACGAUAGUAAAGAUUAAUCAUUGUUAGAUAAUAUGAUUUUUUUUUAUUUUAAAAAAACAUCUUUACAGUUUUAAAAGUUAACAUUGACAAAUAUUUAAAUAUUUAACAUAUGGAGGUAUAGUAUUACAACAUUAAAUUAUAUCUAUUUAAUUUAUACUAUCUAUAAAUACAAUGGAUCAUCUAUUCUUUAAAUCCAGUUAUUGAUAGUCCAAUAAAAAUUUCUGGUAGACCCAAAAUUUAAAAGAUAAGAUUAGAGAUUAAAUGUAACAUGACGUUCUAGGAAUAGGUCUAUUAGGUCCAUUUUUAAAAAAAAAUCACACAUGAAUCAAGGUUAUGACUUCUGUUUUAAUAUAUAAGAUACUGUAUUUGUGUUUUAAAAUUUUAAAUUCAAUAAUACUCAAAAAUAAUAAAAGGGACAAAAAGAAUACGCAAAAACAUCAAAAACUUAAUUCUUUUUUUAUUAUUCUUACUACUAAAAGAAAAGAAUUCUUAAAAAAAUUUACUUAUUAAAGGUUGUUAGACCCGUUAAUUAACUAGCAAUAGAUUUGGUCUUACAAUAAUAUUUGACUAACAAUAUGUAAGCUAAAAUUUCUCUAACAAUAAUUGAUUACACCACUUUUUUUUGAGCAUGACAAAGUUAUACAACAAAUAAACUUGUAUUUAUUAGACCAUAUCACAUGACAAUGAUAUACACAAAUAUAGUUUUUAUACUCAAUGAUAUACACAAUAUAGUUUUUAUACUUUAUUAUACUCUUUUCUAAACAUACAAUAUAGUUUAUAUACUUUAUUACACUCUUUUCUAAACAUCUAUAUAGUUCCAAAUAUUUACAAAAUCAAAUUUAAUACAAACACUUUAACAAACCAUAUGUAAAAAAUAAAACUAUAUAUUUUACGUUAAAUUAUUUUUAUAGUUUAAAAUAAAAUUUGUAAUUUAAUAUAAUAUUAAAAAUUAUUUAAAAAAAAUUACAAAUCUAUACUACUAAAUUAGCCAAAAUCAACCAAGUAAAUCUUAAGUCUCACAAGUUCAAUAAAUGUAACUCUUAUAAAAUGCACACAAAAUAUAAUGUGGGAGAGUAGUAUGGGCAUCGGGUCUUCUGGUUGAGUACCGAUCGGUUCUUUUUGGUCUAAGUUUUUUGGAUUCUAAACAUUUAGGUAUUUAAAAUUUUCUGGUUCGGAUACGGGUCGAUUUUUUUGGGAUCAAGGUCCACAAUUCAAAUACCUACAAAAUACCUAUAAUUUUUAGGUACGUAACGAACCAAAUUGGUUUGGAGUUUUUAGGACUCGAAAAAUAUUCGAAGUACCCAAAAAUUAAAAAAAUACUGAAACCCAAAAAAUAUCCGAAAACACAAAUAAAUUCCUGAAAAAUAUUUCAAUUCCCAAAAAACCCAAAGUUUACGAUAAAUAUGACAUGAGGAACCUAAAAUACCUAAAAAACAUUUCUUUAUACCCAAAAUAUUUUUUUAUUUGAAUUUUACCCGAAACUAUAAUCAGAACUCUGGAUCCGAAACUUAAAAAAUUAUUCAUAAUACUGAAAACACAUUCAAAAUACCAAAUACAUAUCUGAAAAACUCAAAUAUACCUAAUAUACAUAAAGCAUUUAAUAUACUUUGAAUACCCAACUGGGUCUCAGAUAGGACCCGUAAUCGAACAGAAACCGCAAGUCGACAAAAAAAUCAAAUAUGUACUUUGCCCUAGAUCCAAACCCAAACCACAACUAUAUUUCUUGGUUGAUUUUGGUUUGGUUUUUCGGAUCCGGUAAAAUAUCUAAGACUAAAAAGAGUUAUAUAAAAGUGUACAUACAAAAUCUUAUAUAUACAAAUUCACAAAUUAUAUAAUUUUAAACAAGUGCCCUUCUUCGAUAUAAUGACAUUGUAACAGGAUAAUGUACGCCAAUUCUAAAAUACUGAUUCGCAAAUUUUGUUUAUAAUCCAAAGAAAAACCCGCACUUUCGAAGCGCGGAUCAAAUCUAGUUUUCCUUAUAGAUAAACACGAUAUCUUAACAUGUAAUGCUGUAGACAUAAAUAUAAACCCGGAAAAGAAAAUCCAACAAGCCUAUAUUUACAGACUAUUUACAUGUAGCCUUCCUGCCUUAGUCUCUCUUGACUAAAACAUUGAGAAUCUUCAAAUGUGUUUGGAGAAAUUACAUUGUUUUAUUUUAUUAUGUAUAUCAAUGUUUAAUAAUUCCAAAUGCACCAACACUUAACUAUUCUAGGGGUUGAAUAAAUCAAUGAUUUUAAGAAUUUUCAUUGUUCAAGUUCGGUGUGUGCUAUCUAUAUGUAUAAAACAAAGUACGAACAUUAUCCAAUACCACGAGUCUAUAAAUCCUCCACAACCAUUGAAUCCCCUUGCACUUCUCAGAAAACCCUCUCUCUUAAUUAGUCUUUAUCUCAUCUCUAUCUCUAUCUCCCUCUAAUAUAUACACACAACUAAAUAAAGCUUAGGAACUGAAAUAUAUCUAAUCAUAAAAGGAAUGAAGAAGAGGUGUAAUGAAAAUGAAGAAGGUGUAGAGCAGAGAAAAGGGCCUUGGACGCUUGAGGAAGACACUAUUCUCACCAAUUACAUUUCCCAUAACGGUGAAGGCCGAUGGAAUGUACUCGCUAAAUCUUCUGGUAAUAUUCUUGUUCUUUUACAUUUUCUUGUUUUUCCAGAAAAAAAUGUAAAAUUGCACUUCAUGUGUGCAUGAUACUUAGUUAUUCUAGAAUCAAUAUGUAGUUUAUUGCCACUUCAUAUCAUACGCAGUUUGCAUUGAAAAUUGAUCUCUUUCUUACAAAAAAAAAAACAGGGCUAAAGAGAAAAGGAAAAAGUUGCAGAUUACGAUGGUUAAAUUACCUCAAACCCGACAUAAAGCGAGGGAAUCUCACUCCUCAAGAACAACUCUUAAUCCUCGAACUCCAUUGUCAAUGGGGUAAUAGGUAUGUUCUAAUGUAUUAGUUUUGUAGACUUUUAUUCUUU
RNAcentral lists this long non-coding RNA (5268 nucleotides) under Brassica napus (rape). RNAcentral describes it as "long non-coding RNA (BNAP_LNC004035)". Lineage: Eukaryota; Viridiplantae; Streptophyta; Magnoliopsida; Brassicales; Brassicaceae. The record is from RNAcentral.